GGUUGCGAUCAUACCAGCACUAAUGCACCGGAUCCCAUCAGAACUCCGAAGUUAAGCGUGCUUGGGCGAGAGUAGUACUAGGAUGGGUGACCCCCUGGGAAGUCCUCGUGUUGCAACCC
Molecule: ribosomal RNA, 119 nt
Filed under: Helianthus annuus (common sunflower)
Lineage: Eukaryota; Viridiplantae; Streptophyta; Magnoliopsida; Asterales; Asteraceae
Source: RNAcentral